Molecule: long non-coding RNA, 3408 nt
Organism: Phyllopteryx taeniolatus (common seadragon)
Lineage: Eukaryota; Metazoa; Chordata; Actinopteri; Syngnathiformes; Syngnathidae
Exons: 3
Source: RefSeq, a predicted model, not a curated record
GUGUCUCAACCUGAACAAAGCAGUUCAAAACGGAUCACAUGCGUGGCUAAUGAUGUGAAGAGACCAAUGUAAGGCAGGUUAGUGAGCACUGGUGGUUGUUGGUAGCGACAAACGGAGGCAGAGUAAGAGGUGGUUCAGGAGGAAUCUGAGAGAAAGGAGGUAAAAGAGAGAGAACAAUUACAUACCGUAUUUCGUAUGAAAUAUGGGCAACUUUUGUAGACCAUGUACUUUUCCAUGGUUUGACAAUGAAGGAUUAGCGGAAUGCAGCCCAACCUAAGCAGGUUCACUGUGUCCACCGAAGUCCGAAGAUUCAGAGAUGUGAACCGAGUUCCCUUCAAUCGCUGACCAGUUAGGGUGCGUGCCCCCAAAGUCAGCUGGGAUAGGCUCCAGCUCACCCGUCACCCCAAUGAAGAAAUGCAAUAUAGAAAACGGAUGGAAAGGUUCAGUCAGCAACGACUGAAUUUCUCACCCUCCUGUGAUCUCGACGCCCAUCUUGCUAUGACAGAUGGUGCAGACUCCUGAAGCCUACAGCCUUUGUCAAUGAAAGGCACCCUGGGGAGAGCAAAGACCAACUCAGGGGCAACGUUGACUCACAGUGGCUUCUAUAUCCGGAAGGUUCCGAACAGGCUCCUUGGAAGUAACAAGGGAGGACGCUUCACAGAUCAAACAGACACUUAAUUGGACCAAUUAGCCCACUUGCAUCUUUGAUCCAGCUGCAGGCUUCAACUUUAACGCUUUUGUGUUUCACACUGAACCAUGUGACUGCGCAAGACACACUGGCAGUGGACAGGACUAAUAUCUGUGGCUUGCUAUACAGCAGCUGCUCUGUACACGUGUAAUCCAUUCAAACAAGGUGAUGUGGCAAUUUUCUCAUUGUGUCAUCCUGACUCAGACUGUGCUCGGCGCAGGAAUGCAACGCUCAGGCGCGAUUUUCCCUUUGCCAUUGAUUUCCAGGAAGAAAUCAUUCAAUUGCGCCAUCGUCUCUCCAGUCAUGAGAGAGAAAAAAAAAAACUGUGACUAAUUUGAUUGUCCGGACCCACCGUGUAGCAGCUGUAAUGUCUGGAUUAGAAAGGGCUGUCUACCUUUAUUUAGUCGUUUGGAGUGGACCUCCUGGAGUGGAACAGAGGAAACCAAGGCCACCCAAGUCCUGAAAAUGUACUGUAUGUCUGUGUGCGUGUGUGUGCGUUAUAGCUUCAUCUAACUCCCAACACUAAACAGCCCAGACUCUGAGCUCAGAAGAGGGAAGCCUGUACUCAAUUUAUAACAAAAUGAGGAGGCGUGUGGGUUUGCCUUGUUUUUUUUUUUUAAAAUCUAGAUUCAUGACCCUGACUCUGUACAUAAUUACUCACGCUGUGUAAAGUUAUUCACAGGAGCAUAGCAUUGCAGAUUAUAUCAUUUUGCAACAAGUGGUAUGCCUUCAUUUGGUAAGGUUAUGCAUUUUAUUGCUUUUCAAGCAGGAAGGUUCCUAUAAUAUCGCCCAUAAUAAUAGUAUCCCUUUGUUGAGUCGAUGGUCACAACAAUACCAUAUUGGUACGCUUGCAGAGGACAGAGAACGAUUGCUGUUUGAUUGGUCGACAGACAAUUGUCUGCCUCUAUUCUUGUCAGAAUGAAUUAAUUCAUUGGGAAGAAAAACAACAAGCAUCAUUUAAAAAAAUAUAGUAGACUAUAGUAGAUGAAUGAUUAAAGUUUUUUUUGUUUUUUUUUGUUGAGGCUGCACGGCACAACCAGUUAGCCUUCUAUUUGUGAAAUCCGUCUACAGCGUGAGCACUAAGAUUGGCUGUUUUGCCCGUUUCACAUGAUAAUCAGCUGAACUCGUCGUUGACCAAACAUAAGGAUUUGCGAACGUAAAAAUUCAACAGGUUUAACAUUUACCAUGGUCAGCCACAACCAUUUUCUAAACUGUAAAAAAAAAAAAAAAUCACUCUUAACAUAUCCCACACCACAGCGUAACCGGUCAGGAUAAUCUUUAGAGACAUCCAACUAUAGAGCUUUUCCUGACUUUGAUUGUAAGAGAGAGAAAAAAAAAUGCUCCAACUACUGUAAUCCUGAUUAUUGGUAUGUGCGUACCCUGCUUUCGUAGAAAUGCGCCUUUAGCCACAAUAAGAACACUCUCAGUCCUUAGACAGGCAGUAGCUUACCAGAUACCUUUGCAACGAACCGCAAGUGACUCAUUGUGUUGAUAUUGAAGCACUGCAGCGGAAUAUUAUAAACUCAAAUCGCAGUUGUUUAAAAAGAGAGUGGCAGAAAACAAGCACUGGUGUCGACACGUUUGGUCCCUUUUGAACCCUUUUAAACCUGUCACCACUGCUUGGAAAAAAUAAAAAAUCCAAAUCAAAGCACUCAUAACAGAAGUGGUAAUCAUAACCAUAAACACACUCUUUCCUGAGCAGGCUCAAAAGAAAUGGAAAUUCAGAUAACAACAUGGUGUGUUUUUCCCCUCACUCCAGUGAAAGAGUAAAAGCCCUUUACUGGAAGAGGGAUUACUGUGUCCAAAAGUGUUAAACACCCCCCAAGUUAUGGGCCCAUCAAAGAACAGAAGGGCCGCUGUAAGUGCGUGUGUGUGUGUGUGUGUGUGUGUGUGUGUGUGUGUGGUGAAACAGGGGGAGAUACACAGCAGGCUAAACCACAUCGAGGUUUGCGUAGCUUUCUGACUGAUGCAUGCAGGCCCAAAAGGUGAGUCACACAAGUGGAUGAUGGUGGUGGAGGGGGAGACGGUGAAUAAUAAGGGCAGUAAUGUGUGUCUACUUCACGAUGCGGGGGCACAGAGGAGGUCACGGAGCCCCCAAGAAAGCGAGUUCUUUGUUCCUGAAAUGCCAUGAGUGAUUUAAGCAAAACAACAAGAUGCGCUUGUUUAGUUCGAGCGCAACGUCGCCUCCACUUUCUCAAAUUUCAGUCUUACUUUAUCCUUUAUUUAUUGCUUUUUCUUUUUCUCCAGUAUAUAUAUAUAUAUAUAUAUAUAAUAUAUAUAUUUGUGUGUGUGUGUGUUUCUUUUUUAAAGACAGGACAAAUAGCUGUAUCUGUAAAAAAAUAAAAAUACUUGCAGGGAUGAGCGUGAAUAUUAAUCUCAUACGGUUUGAAUAAUUAGCCUGAAACUGGCAACAAAUAAAUUGAAAUGUUCACUUUGAGCAUGACAACAAUUUUCUAAGUGCCAUUAAAAUGGUGUUACUGUAAAUAAUGUGCAUAUAAAUAUUGAAUUAUUAAAUUAACUAGUAGAAUAGUAAAACAAAACAUGAACUACUGUUAUUCAUCCAUACCUGGUUCUCUCUUUGGUACAUGCCCUACAAGGCCAAUUUUGUGGCCUUGUGCAAAUCGGUAGUUUUUGCGUCAUAUUAAAAACAACAACAUUGCUACUAAUAUUACUACUACAGUACAAAUGAAAAUAUUUUAGGCUGUUAUAGCUGCAAAGGG